RNAcentral lists this ribosomal RNA (400 nucleotides) under uncultured bacterium. RNAcentral's name for it is "bacterial SSU rRNA". It matches the Rfam family "Bacterial small subunit ribosomal RNA", at positions 358 to 774 of the family's 1533-position model. The record is from RNAcentral.
GGAAUAUUGCACAAUGGGCGCAAGCCUGAUGCAGCAACGCCGCGUGAGCGAAGAAGGUCUUCGGAUCGUAAAGCUCUGUCCUCAGGAACGAAGAAGUGACGGUACCUGAGGAGGAAGCCCCGGCUAACUACGUGCCAGCAGCCGCGGUAAUACGUAGGGGGCGAGCGUUAUCCGGAAUUAUUGGGCGUAAAGAGUACGUAGGCGGUUCUGUAAGCGUGAGGUGAAAGCCCGGGGCUUAACUCCGGUAAGCCUUUCGAACUGCAGGACUUGAGUGCUGGAGGGGAAAGUGGAAUUCCUAGUGUAGCGGUGAAAUGCGUAGAUAUUAGGAGGAACACCAGUGGCGAAGGCGACUUUCUGGACAGUAACUGACGCUGAGGUACGAAAGCGUGGGGAGCAAACA